GGUAAGAGCGUGCCGGGAGCCGGGGGAAGGCGUAGGGGGCGAGCGUUUGGCGAAGUGACGUGGCGUAAAGCGGGGGUAGGCGGGCUGGUAAGUGGGAGGUGAAAGGCGGGUGCUCAACCCCAUGCAGUGCCUCUCAUACUGGCGGUCUUGAGUGCGGCAGGGAGAAGGGGAAUGGCUGGUGUAGCGGUGAAAUGCGUAGAUAUCAGUCGGAACACCGGUGGCGAAGGCGGCUUCUUGGGCCUGGACUGACGCUGACGCGCGAAAGCUGGGGGAGCGAACGGGAUUAGAUACCCAGUAGUC
RNAcentral lists this ribosomal RNA (300 nucleotides) under uncultured Ancylobacter sp. RNAcentral's name for it is "partial 16S ribosomal RNA". It matches the Rfam family "Bacterial small subunit ribosomal RNA", at positions 496 to 795 of the family's 1533-position model. The record is from RNAcentral. Lineage: Bacteria; Pseudomonadati; Pseudomonadota; Alphaproteobacteria; Hyphomicrobiales; Xanthobacteraceae.